AUUCUCCAUAACCAUCGGAAAGGAAGAGGCCCAGGCAGCGCUCCACAUCCUGACCCUAGCUUUUAACACCAUCGUUUUGGGGAGAGGAGAGGAGGAACGCACCCACAGUGAGGUCUCCACCCAACACUUCUCCGACCCCAGCUUCAGCCUGGCGCACCUUCCUUCCCAAACCCGCCUCUCCCGCCUCGGAGACCCCCUCCUCCUCCCUGCCACCAAAGGCCACGCAGCCCCCAUCUAGCCAGUCCUCACGGACCCUGGACCAAGACGCGCCUCCUGGAGGCCGAGACUGCCCGAAACCCGGCCCCUGCGUCCACCGGGAGCGCCACACUCUGGCAGCUGACCGGCGGCUGUCGCCGGGGGUAAGGUUACCGCUCCGCUUCCGCGGCUGGCCUGCGACCCGGCCACCUGCAGGGCCUGGCAGGCGCCCGAACUCAUCCCCUUCCCGCGGCCCGCCCCGGGCCGGGCCCUGCCGCCCCCCGCGACCCCUCGCGACCCGCGGCGAGUCCCACGGUCCCCACCGCCCCCCGCUGGCCGGCCCCCGCCCCGUUUCCCGGGCGUCCCGCGGCGUCAGCACCGCCCCCGCUGCCGCUCACCCGGGCCGGGACAGUCUUGCGUCGGAGAGACAGUGCAGCGCGAGAGGGCCGGGAGAGGACGCCGGAGGGAAAGGAAGGGGGAGCGCGCCCAGCACCGCUUGGGCCUCCUCCACCCGCUCAGGAGGGGAAACACGAGAGCCGGGAGCACAACAGCCUCGCACGCCCGCCGCCGCCGCGCGCCCGCCGCCGCCUCAGCCUUAGGGGAGACCACUACGCCUCGUGCCCGCGCACGCCGCGCCGCUCUCCUCGGCGCCCCCGCCCCGCCUGCUCCUCGCAGCCCCGCCCAUGUGCCUUUCUGCGGCUGCCUCCUUCUGGCCCCCACCCCGCUCGCACGCCUGCGCCCUGGCUGGUCGCGCGGGCCAAUGGCAGCGCGCCCCUAUUACAUAAGCGCGAGGGGGCGGGCCCUGGCUGACACAAACUUCAGGGGACGUCGCCUUCUGUCCCCAGGCGCCCCUCCUCUCCGGCGCGCUCGGUCCGGGCGGCUUCUUCACCCAGCCCUGGGAGCCACGUGAUCCCGGUCCUGGUUGGUGACCGGGCCGCGGCGUGUUUCACAAGUCGCUCGCUCGCUCAUCCACUCGGGCGGCGGCCGGGCCUCAGGCGCUGCGACCCUUUUCCCGCUCCUCCCAGGCUGACGCGCCCGUCUCGGCGCCGCCCUCCUCGGCACCGACUGAGGCGCUGGCCCGGGAGCGGAUCGCGGGGCCGCGGUGGCUGAGUCACAUUCCCGGAGCCCCGCCACCCAGGACACCGCGGCCCCGGCCCCCAGCGAGCCCGGCGGACCCAGCGGCUCUGAACGCGGACGCACAGCCUUUGUUCUUUCACAGCCGCCCUUUACCUCACUCCCAUGGAAACCCCAGGUGUUUUCCCAAGCUGGGGGCUUUUAGUGAGUUCAAGAUUCAAGCCUAAGUCGUAUUAAAAAUUGCUGGCUAGGCCGGGCGCGGUGGCUCACGCCUGUAAUCUCAGCGCUUUGGGAGCCCAAGGCAGGAGGAUCACUUGAGCCCAGGAGUUCCAGACCAGCCUGAGUACAUAGCGAGACCCACGUCUCCACAAAAAUAAAAUAAAAUAAAAUAAAUAGUGGAGCAUGGUGGCCCGCGCCUGUAGUCCCAGCUACUCGGGAGGCUGAGGUGGGAGAAUCGCUUGAGGCCGGGAGGUGAAGGUUGCGGUAAGCCGAGAUCGCGCCAUUGCACUCCAUCCUGGGCGACUGAGUGAGACCCUGCCUAAAAAAAAAAAAAAACAAAAAAAGAAAAAAAAAUUGCUGGCCAGGCUUCCCGGAGGGGUUUAGUUUGACUGCUAACAAUAUACGGUACUGAGUUGCUAAUCCUUCGGGGAAUGGUUAAAGUUCUUUGCGCGCGCUCUCUCUCCAUUUACAGGCAGUGGCAGCAAACUUUCAAUAUCUGACAAGAGCAAUGGCGAUUAUAACCAUGAUUAAAAUUGCUGAAUAUCUGGAAACAGUACUUUAGACAUCAGCUUUAUUGUGCAUACUUACCCCCGACCCCCGCCACAUUCGUUUCUAAUUAGAACUACUAGUGACAAAGGAGAAAAAAAAAAAGUGUUUGCAUUGGCUGUUCUCACCUUGCCUGUAGUGCCGUUUCCCAAGUUUGCGUGGCAGUGCCCAGGAAAUGUUGGCUGAAUAUUAGUAUAUCCCAAAUGACUUGGACUGGGCUAUAGAUACCACAGAAUUGUUUAAACUAGCCAGGAAGGAGUUAGCUGCCUAUUGCAUUUGAGUGGAGAAAAAUACGAAAUGAAACAUGGCAUGCAGUGAUCCGGGUGUUCAGUUCUCCCUCUUCAUCCUCAUUUCAGCUUCUCUCACCUUCACUUUUUAUGCUCUGACUUCCUUCUUGCAGUUUUAAAUUACUCUCUAGUCCUAGAUUGUAAGAUUAUUUUCAUCAGGGAAUACGCAGUAUGUUAAACAUAGUAGACGUUGAAUAAAUGGAUAUUGAUCAAAUGAACCGAGUAUGUCUGAAGAAAGCAGCUUUUAAAUUGACAUAGCAUGAAGCUCUAGCUUAGUCACUAAUAGUCACUGUAACCUUAAUGGUUGUGUUAAUCUGGCUGAUAGAGGGAUGGGUACUUGUUGGCCCUAGAAAUGGGAACUUCAAAGAUCUGUGUUUAUCUAGCCGUGAAUGACAGUAGACAGUGGAAAGGGACAGUGAAAUUUGUGUGGCAGAGAUAUGUCUUCUUAACUAAAGAGGUGACUCCUAUUGUGAAGUAGGUUAAUAUGUCACUCUUUACCAUGGCCUAGAUGAAAUAUGUAUUCAAGCUAGUGUUUCUUAAGUUUUUGAGUCAUAACUCCUUUGAGAAUUUGGUGAAAGCUAUUGACUUUGCCCCCAGAAAGUUCAUGUACUUAUCAUGUAACUUAUCCUCAUAGGUAGUGUUUCUUAAUCUCAGCACCGUUGAAAUUUGGGCUGGAUGAUUCUUUAUUAUGGGGCUCUGUGAGACCUGGGGAUUGUAGGAUGUUUAGCAACAUCCCUGUCUCCUACCUGCUUAUCCAAGUAGCACCUCAUCUCCAGUUGUGACAACUAAAAAUGUCUCCAGACAUUGUGAAAUGUUCUCAGGGGGUCAAAGUCUCCCCUGAUUCAGAACCACUGCCUAGAGGAUAUGGCAUAAUGGUAACUUUAUGUGAUGGUUAGGGAAUUUGAAAAAAAAAAAAAAAAAAAGAAACAAGGAAUGGAUAAGAUUCAACAUCUGUGAAGUGACACUCAGUAAAUGAAAGGCGGAUGAAUUAGCAUUACUACCAGCUGGUGUCCUACUUAUGUUAUAGAAAUGUGACAGCAAAUGUGAUAUGAACUCCUUAGAAGCAUUUUUAUACACAUUGCUGGCUUUAAUUGUGAAUGCUACAGUAACUCUCCUGACUGUUUUUCUUCUUCUGCCUUUAGACAAUUACCCAAGGUUAAGAUGCAAUAAACAUGUGCCUAUUUUCUAUCCAAAAUCUCAAUCAGAUUAAAAUGCUUCUCUAAAGACCUGAAAGGCUUAUUUGUUUAUUUGUAUUCAUGUAGGAUUUGGGGGGAUGAAAGAAUUGGUGAUUAAUCAACAUAUUAUUUUCCCAAUAAACAGACUAUUCUGACAAAUGUUUAGUGGCAAAUAAUAGCAACAGCAAUAAUGGCAACAAUAAACUUAGAACAGAAAUGGAUUUAUUUUUAUUUAUUUAUUUUUUACCAGCUCUUUCUCUUUCACUCGCUUCUGCAUGUUGAGAUUUCUCACACAUGCAACCUAGAUCUUCUUGUCUUCUUUAUAUUCUUUCUCCAAAGGAAUCUCAUUCACUGUUGUGCCUUUAAAUAGCAAGCUUCAGGUGACCCCCACAUUUCUAUCUCCAAAUUGACAUAUCCAAAUGCCUACUACUCAUCUCCCCUCUGAUGUCUUAUAGACAUUCACAUUUAAUAGCAUAUUGUAUUGAGUCUAAGGAGCCAUUAAUUGUAAGUCACAUUUAUGUCCACUAAGAUUAAAAAAUACUGCCAACUGAACUAUGACAAAAUGCUGAUAUCCUUGAUUCUAAGAUACAUCUUGAUUUCAGAGACUUUAAAAAUAGGCUUAAAAAAUAAUGUGAUUUACUAGAAUAGCACCAAAAAGAAUAAAAUACUUAGGAAUUAACUUACCAAGAGAAGUGCAAAACUUGUAUUCUAAACUCUAAAUAACAUUGUUGAAAGAAAUUAAAGACCUAAAUAAAUGGAAAGGUAUCUUAUGUUCAUGGAUCAGAACACUUUGUAAAGAUGGCAGUAAUUCCCAAGUUGAUCCACAGAUUCGGUGCAACCCCUAUCAAAAUCCUGUCUGGUAUCUUUACAUAAGCUUAUUCUAAAAUUUAUAUGGAAAUUCAAGGAGCCCAGAAUAGCCAAAACAACCUUGAAAAAAGAAUAAAAUUGGAAGAUUCACAUUUCCCAAUUUAAAAACUUAUUACAAAGCUAUAGUAAUUAAAACAGUGUGGUACUGGAAUAAGAUUAGACAUAUAAAUCAAUGAGGUAGGAUUGAGAGUCUAAAAAUAAACCUUCAUAUGUAUAGUCAAUUGAUUUUCAACACAGGCACCAAACAAAUUCAAUGGGGCAAGGAGUCUUCAGCAAAUAUUACUGGGAUAGCUAGAUAUCCACAUGUAAAAGAAUAAAGUUGAAUCCUAUCCUCAUACCAUAUACAAAAAUUAACUCAAAAUGGAUAGAAGACCUAAAUGUAAGUGCUAAAACAUAAAAGUCCUAGGAGAAAACAUAGGAGUAAAUAUGUAUGACCACGGGUUAAAAAAGCUUUUUUUUUUUUUUUUUUUUUUUUUUGAGACAGAGCCUUGCUUUGUCGCCAUGCUGGGGUGCAGUGGCGCAAUCUUGGCUCACUGCAACCUCCACCUCCCGGGUUCAAGAGAUUCUCCUGCCUCAGCCUCCCGAGUAGCUGGGACUACAGGCACACGCCACCAUGCCCAGCUAAUUUUUGUAUUUUUAGUAGAGAUGGGGUUUCACCAUGUUGGCCAGGAUGGUCUUGAUCUGUUGACCUCGUGAUUCACCUCAGGUGAUCCACCUGCAUCAGCCUCCCAAAGUGCUGGGAUUAUAGGCAUGAGCCACUGUGCCAGGCCAAAAAAGGCUUUUUAAGGUAUGACAUCAAAAGCAUUAGUGACAAAAGAAAAAAAACAGAUAAAUUGAACUUCAUCAAAAUUAAGAUACUUUGUGCUUCAAAAGAUGCCAUUAAAAAAAAAAAAGACCACCUACAGAAUGGGAGAAUAUGUUUGCAAAUUAUAUAUCUGAUAAAUGACUUCUAUCUAGAAUAUAUAAAGAAUGCUUACAACUUCAUACUAAGAAAGCAAAUACCCAAUUAAAAAAUAGGUGACGGAUCUGAUUAGCUACUUCUCCAAACAAGAUGCCCAAAUGGCUAAUAAGCACAUGAAAAAAUGCUCACCAUUCUUAGUCAUCAAAGAAUGCAAAUCAAAAUAUGAGAUAGUAUUAUACUUCACACGCACUGGGAUGGCUGUAAUCGAAAAGACAGAUGAUAACAAGUAUUGGAGAGGAGGUGAAGAAUUUAGAAACAGUCUGGUGGUUUUCCAAAAGAUAAACAUAGAGUCAUCAUAUAACCUAACAAUUCCAAUCCUAGAUAUAUAUCCAAGAGCAAUGAGAACAUACGUUCACACAAAAGUUUGUACAUUUUAAGCAGCAUUAUUCAUAAUAGCCAAAAAGUAGAAACAACCCAAAUAUUCAGCAGGUGAUGAACUGAGAAACUGUGGUAUGGCCAUAAAAUGAAAUAUUAUUUGGCCAUAAAAAGGAAUGAGGUUCUGAUACAUGCCUCAACUUGGAUGAACCUUGAAAACGUUAUGCUAAGUGAAAGGAGGUCCUUCCUUGAGCCCCCAUCUGAAUGAGGAGUCCUUGUACUUUUCAUCCUUUGAAUUUAUCAUGCAAUAUUAUGUAUUGUUUCAUGAAAUGUUUUACAUAUAUAUGUAUAUAUAAUGUAUAUGUGUAUAUAUAAUGUAUAUGUGUAUAUAUAUAAAUUUGUAGAAUUUCUCCUUUCCAUUUGAUUCCUAAAACAAUAACCUGUAACACCUGUGCUGUACUUACUAUCUACCAGGCACUGUUAUAUAUGCUUUAUAUAUUUUGAUUCAUUUAACCUUCUCAACAACUCUUAUGUAGCUGAGGUACAAAAUGGCUAAGUUAUCUAAGAUUACACAGCUAGUAAGUAGAAAAGCUAAGAUUUGGCUCCUGGCAGUCUUUUUCCUGAGGCUGAGCCGUGGUCCUGUGUAUACUAUAAGGGUGGUUCUGUAUCUGUUCUUUUUAUCCCUGUGUAGCCUGUAUUUAGCAUAGCAUCUGGCAUGAUGUAGGUACCCAAUAAAUAUUUGUUGAAUGAAUGUAAGUCUGAAUGAUUCCUUUAAACUCGGUUAGGAGACCUCCUAGGUAUCACAGAUUAUGAUGUACUUCCCUAAAAAUAGCACUUAUCUCACUGUGUUGUACUUGCCUGUUUAUCCAUAGAAGAUGAGCUCCCUCAGGUCCUGAGUUAUGUCUUGUUAACCAGCAUCUAGUACAGUGCCUGGCACCUAGCAGGUAGUUAAUAAGUAUCUGUAAAUGGAUGAAAUAAGAGAGUGGAUUGUGAAUGAAAUUACAAGUAUCAGUGACAAUCCGUGAGGCCAGUAUUUGAAAAUGAUUACCCCUGCCAUCCAGUUAAAGAUAGAGGCUUGAACACAUGCAUUUACCUCUACCCUUUGUUGGAAUCCCACUAAAAAUAAUGGUAAAGGAGUUUAUAAGAAAGCAUAAACUCCUUUACCAUUGAAGAAAAGAAAACAGAAGAGAAGAAUGUAGCAGAAUUUUGGAAGCUGCAAAGUAAGUAAACAAGUGGUAACUGAUUUAGGAGAGAAGAGGGUUUCUGGACUGAAGGGGCAGCAAGCAUGAGUGGGGGUAGCAAAACAGAGGACUAAAUGAAAAUUUAAGUUGAAUGUUGAGAGACACUUCACCAUCUCAGCUCUGAGAAUGGAAACAGACAAUCUUAUACCUCCAGCCAGAAAACUGAAAGAGUUUUCUUGGGGAUUAGAACCCAACUCAAUGGAAAUACCUAAAGAUACUGAUACUUGGGAUUGCCCAAUAAGACAGCACAGCCAGGUAAUCCUGCAACAAAUCCCAUGUUUGAAAAGUGGCACCUGCAUGUAUCAGUCUUCCAAUCAGAUGUCUAGUGCCCUGUUCUUAAAUGUGAGCACACAGCCAAGGAUAACCAAACAUUUGAGGAAAACCUCUUAUAUGAAACACAGAGUCCCCA
This 7289-nucleotide long non-coding RNA is filed under the name Homo sapiens (human). RNAcentral's name for it is "non-protein coding lnc-GRHL2-12:6". Lineage: Eukaryota; Metazoa; Chordata; Mammalia; Primates; Hominidae. The record is from RNAcentral.